GGAGAGGUGGCUGAGCGGUCUAAAGCGAUACUUUGCUAAAGUAUUAUACCUCUAAGGUAUCGUGGGUUCGAAUCCCAUCCUCUCUU
RNAcentral lists this transfer RNA (86 nucleotides) under Pharyngomonas kirbyi. Its description in RNAcentral is "tRNA-Ser". It matches the Rfam family "tRNA". From Rfam's summary of the family: Transfer RNA (tRNA) molecules are approximately 80 nucleotides in length. Lineage: Eukaryota; Heterolobosea; Pharyngomonadea; Pharyngomonadida; Pharyngomonadidae. The record is from RNAcentral.